GCUAGCUACAGGCUUAACACAUGCAAGUCGAGGGGCAGCAUGGUCUUAGCUUGCUAAGGCCGAUGGCGACCGGCGCACGGGUGAGUAACACGUAUCCAACCUGCCGUCUACUCUUGGACAGCCUUCUGAAAGGAAGAUUAAUACAAGAUGGCAUCAUGAGUCCGCAUGUUCACAUGAUUAAAGGUAUUCCGGUAGACGAUGGGGAUGCGUUCCAUUAGAUAGUAGGCGGGGUAACGGCCCACCUAGUCUUCGAUGGAUAGGGGUUCUGAGAGGAAGGUCCCCCACAUUGGAACUGAGACACGGUCCAAACUCCUACGGGAGGCAGCAGUGAGGAAUAUUGGUCAAUGGGCGAGAGCCUGAACCAGCCAAGUAGCGUGAAGGAUGACUGCCCUAUGGGUUGUAAACUUCUUUUAUAAAGGAAUAAAGUCGGGUAUGUAUACCCGUUUGCACGUACUUUAUGAAUAAGGAUCGGCUAACCCCGUGCCAGCAGCCGCGGUAAUACGGAGGAUCCGAGCGUUAUCCGGAUUUAUUGGGUUUAAAGGGAGCGUAGAUGGAUGUUUAAGUCAGUUGUGAAAGUUUGCGGCUCAACCGUAAAAUUGCAGUUGAUACUGGAUAUCUUGAGUGCAGUUGAGGCAGGCGGAAUUCGUGGUGUAGCGGUGAAAUGCUUAGAUAUCACGAAGAACUCCGAUUGCGAAGGCAGCCUGCUAAGCUGCAACUGACAUUGAGGCUCGAAAGUGUGGGUAUCAAACAGGAUUAGAUACCCUGGUAGUCCACACGGUAAACGAUGAAUACUCGCUGUUUGCGAUAUACUGCAAGCGGCCAAGCGAAAGCGUU
RNAcentral lists this ribosomal RNA (834 nucleotides) under uncultured organism. RNAcentral describes it as "SSU rRNA". It matches the Rfam family "Bacterial small subunit ribosomal RNA", at positions 35 to 861 of the family's 1533-position model. The record is from RNAcentral.